UCCGGUUGAUCCUGCCGGAGGUUACUGCUAUCGAGGUUCGACUAAGCCAUGCGAGUCGAAUGUAGCAAUACAUGGCGAACUGCUCAGUAACACGUGGNCAACCUGCCCUUAGGACGGGGAUAAACCCGGGAAACUGGGUAUAAUACCCGAUAGGUCUCGAUUGCUGGAAUGCAUCGAGAUNUAAAGCUCCGGCGCCUAAGGAUGGGUCUGCGGCCUAUCAGGUAGUAGUGGGUGUAGCGUACCUACUAGCCUACGACGGGUACGGGUUGUGAGAGCAAGAGCCCGGAGAUGGAUUCUGAGACACGAAUCCAGGCCCUACGGGGUGCAGCAGGCGCGAAAACUUUACAAUGCUGGCAACAGCGAUAAGGGAACCUCGAGUGCCAGGUUACAAAUCUGGCUGUCGAGAUGCCUAAAAAGCAUUUCAUAGCAAGGGCCGGGCAAGACCGGUGCCAGCCGCCGCGGUAACACCGGCGGCUCGAGUGGUAACCGUUAUUAUUGGGUCUAAAGGGUCUGUAGCCGGCCGGAUAAGUCUCUUGAGAAAUCUGGCAGCUUAACUGUCAGGCUUUCAGGAGAUACUGUCUGGCUCGAGGCCGGGAGAGGUGAGAGGUACUUCAGGGGUAGGGGUGAAAUCUUGUAAUCCUUGAAGGACCACCAGUGGCGAAGGCGUCUCACCAGAACGGACCUGACGGCAAGGGACGAAAGCUAGGGGCACGAACCGGAUUAGAUACCCGGGUAGUCCUAGCCGUAAACGAUACUCGCUAGGUGUCGGCCACGGUGCGACCGUUGUCGGUGCCGUAGGGAAGCCGUGAAGCGAGCCACCUGGGAAGUACGGCCGCAAGGCUGAAACUUAAAGGAAUUGGCGGGGGAGCACCACAACGGGUGGAGCUUGCGGUUUAAUUGGAUUCAACGCCGGA
RNAcentral lists this ribosomal RNA (914 nucleotides) under uncultured archaeon. RNAcentral describes it as "bacterial SSU rRNA". It matches the Rfam family "Archaeal small subunit ribosomal RNA", at positions 1 to 922 of the family's 1478-position model. The record is from RNAcentral.